AGUGAACGCUGGCGGCGUGCUUAACACAUGCAAGUCGAACGAGAACGGAAUAUAGCUUGCUAUAUUUGUCAGCUAAGUGGCGCACGGGUGAAUAAUAUAUAGAUAACCUGCCCUUAAGAAAGGAAUAACAGUUGGAAACGACUGCUAAUGCCCUAUAUGCCUUUAAUACAUAAGUAUGCAAGGGAAACGCUUUAGUGCUUAAGGAUGGGUCUGUAUGGUAUCAGCUUGUUGGUGAGGUAAUGGCUCACCAAGGCUAUGACGCCUAACUGGUUUGAGAGGAUGAUCAGUCACACUGGAACUGCGACACGGUCCAGACUCCUACGGGAGGCAGCAGUGGGGAAUAUUGCACAAUGGACGAAAGUCUGAUGCAGCAACGCCGCGUGGAGGAUGACACAUUUCGGUGCGUAAACUCCUUUUAUAUAGGAAGAUAAUGACGGUACUAUAUGAAUAAGCACCGGCUAACUCCGUGCCAGCCGCCGCCGUAA
This 485-nucleotide ribosomal RNA is filed under the name uncultured bacterium. RNAcentral describes it as "partial 16S ribosomal RNA". It matches the Rfam family "Bacterial small subunit ribosomal RNA", at positions 29 to 523 of the family's 1533-position model. The record is from RNAcentral.